CCUACGGGUGGCUGCAGUGGGGAAUAUUGGACAAUGGGGGGAACCCUGAUCCAGCCAUGCCGCGUGUGUGAAGAAGGCCCUCGGGUUGUAAAGCACUUUCAGUGAGGAAGAACGCCUGGUGGUUAAUACCCAUCAGGAAAGACAUCACUCACAGAAGAAGCACCGGCUAACUCCGUGCCAGCAGCCGCGGUAAUACGGAGGGUGCGAGCGUUAAUCGGAAUUACUGGGCGUAAAGCGCGCGUAGGUGGAUUGAUAAGCCGGUUGUGAAAGCCCCGGGCUCAACCUGGGAACGGCAUCCGGAACUGUCAAGCUAGAGUGCAGGAGAGGAAGGUAGAAUUCCCGGUGUAGCGGUGAAAUGCGUAGAGAUCGGGAGGAAUACCAGUGGCGAAGGCGGCCUUCUGGACUGACACUGACACUGAGGUGCGAAAGCGUGGGUAGCAAACAGGAUUAGAUACCCCAGUAGUC
RNAcentral lists this ribosomal RNA (465 nucleotides) under Vreelandella stevensii. Its description in RNAcentral is "partial 16S ribosomal RNA". It matches the Rfam family "Bacterial small subunit ribosomal RNA", at positions 338 to 795 of the family's 1533-position model. The record is from RNAcentral. Lineage: Bacteria; Pseudomonadati; Pseudomonadota; Gammaproteobacteria; Oceanospirillales; Halomonadaceae.